CGAUUUAACUGCUUUUAAGGCGGUUUUCCACUAGGCGAAAUUUUUCGACCGAAUCGAAAUUUCUCUUUGUUUCAGAGCUCUCGAGCAGAACUAAUUGUAAAAAGACAAAGAGAAAUUUUGUUUCGGUCGAAAAAUUCCGCCUCGUGGAAUCCGGCCUUUAAACGCGAGUCG
RNAcentral lists this microRNA precursor (171 nucleotides) under Paramuricea clavata. The record is from RNAcentral. Lineage: Eukaryota; Metazoa; Cnidaria; Anthozoa; Malacalcyonacea; Plexauridae.